GGCGGGAGAAACAAAAUUUAAUUUAAGCAAUUUAUCAUAGUUAUUUUGAUCAAAGUUGCUUUUCCGUUUGGUAAGAGUAUGUAUUACUGAAGUAUGCUUCGUUUGAAUAGAUGCUGCAUAGAUGCAGAUUGCUGUGGUAUCUGUCUGAUGAUGUGCCAAGAGGUUGAUGAUUGGGAUAUUGCCAGAGAGAUUGUUAUAAGAUGGCAGCAGAUGCUGAAAGUGAAAAGUUUGUGAAAAGAGGUGGUUUUCGCUUUAAGCGAUCAGUAUCGGGUAGCAGUGGGAGACAUUCUCUGCCCAGCCUGUCCAAGACUCCCCGAGCCUUACCCUCUGUACAGCUUGCAGUGACCAACCCGGGAGACUUAGGCAAUGAGCAC
Molecule: long non-coding RNA, 374 nt
Organism: Liolophura sinensis
Lineage: Eukaryota; Metazoa; Mollusca; Polyplacophora; Chitonida; Chitonidae
Exons: 3
Source: RefSeq, a predicted model, not a curated record